AUUGAACGCUGGCGGCAUGCCUUACACAUGCAAGUCGAACGGCAGCACGGGAGCUUGCUCCUGGUGGCGAGUGGCGAACGGGUGAGUAAUAUAUCGGAACGUACCCUAGAGUGGGGGAUAACGCAGCGAAAGUUGCGCUAAUACCGCAUACGAUCUACGGAUGAAAGUGGGGGAUCGCAAGACCUCAUGCUCAUGGAGCGGCCGAUAUCUGAUUAGCUAGUUGGUGGGUAAAGGCCUACCAAGGCAUCGAUCAGUAGCUGGUCUGAGAGGACGACCAGCCACACUGGAACUGAGACACGGUCCAGACUCCUACGGGAGGCAGCAGUGGGGAAUUUUGGACAAUGGGGGCAACCCUGAUCCAGCAAUG
RNAcentral lists this ribosomal RNA (367 nucleotides) under uncultured bacterium. Its description in RNAcentral is "bacterial SSU rRNA". It matches the Rfam family "Bacterial small subunit ribosomal RNA", at positions 30 to 396 of the family's 1533-position model. The record is from RNAcentral.